This 397-nucleotide long non-coding RNA is filed under the name Zonotrichia albicollis (white-throated sparrow). RNAcentral describes it as "lncRNA (ENSZALG00000011472.1)". The record is from RNAcentral. Lineage: Eukaryota; Metazoa; Chordata; Aves; Passeriformes; Passerellidae.
CAGACCAGCUGAUGGGAAUGAGAGAAAUAAUAGUUUUAAGCUGACAAGUGAGAAGCUUAGGCAGAUGAAAGUUCUGCAAAAGAAGACUGUGAGGUGUUUUGAUAUUUGGGCACAAGACUCUCCUAAGUAGAGCAAAUGGAGGACUGAAAACGUUUUACUUUUACAGGGAAGGAUACAAAACAAAAGGGGAAAGAUGAUUACUAAACAAGAAACCUGCAACUCCUGUAAAAGCGUGCUCCAGAAUGAUUUUGCUGAAUGUCCCCAGAUGGUUAAAUCUGUUCUGACACCUGUUUAUACAUCACUAUUUCUUUGCCUGAGGAGAAGGUUGGCUGUGAUCUUGGGUCUGGCAACAAUCUAUGACUGCCAGUUCAUGCACCUUCCCAGUGUUCUCUGCUGA